RNAcentral lists this ribosomal RNA (241 nucleotides) under uncultured bacterium. Its description in RNAcentral is "partial 16S ribosomal RNA". It matches the Rfam family "Bacterial small subunit ribosomal RNA", at positions 91 to 334 of the family's 1533-position model. The record is from RNAcentral.
CGGACCGGCGCACGGGUGAGUAACGCGUAUGUAAUCUACCUGUAACAGAGGGAUAACCCGGAGAAAUCCGGACUAAUACCUCAUAGCACAUAUUAUUCGCAUGAAUUUUAUGUUAAAGAGACUCGGUUACAGAUGAACAUGCGUUCCAUUAGCUAGUUGGCGGGUUACGGCCCACCAAGGCAACGAUGGAUAGGGGUUCUGAGAGGAAGGUCCCCCACACUGGUACUGAGACACGGACCAG